GGGGCAAUAGCUCAGUUGGUAGAGCGCCUGCUUUGCACGCAGGAGGUCUAGGGUUCGAAUCCCUAUUGCUCCACCA
This 76-nucleotide transfer RNA is filed under the name Chloroflexota bacterium. RNAcentral's name for it is "Chloroflexi bacterium tRNA-Ala". It matches the Rfam family "tRNA". Rfam says of the family: Transfer RNA (tRNA) molecules are approximately 80 nucleotides in length. Their secondary structure includes four short double-helical elements and three loops (D, anti-codon, and T loops). The record is from RNAcentral. Lineage: Bacteria; Bacillati; Chloroflexota. RNAcentral also lists the same sequence under 1 other name.